GCCAGGUGCGGUGACACACGUUUGUAAUCCCAGCUACUUGGGAGGCUGAGGCAGGAGGACAGCAAGUUGGAGAGCAGCCUCAGCAAUUUUGUUGGACCCUGUCUCAA
RNAcentral lists this small RNA (107 nucleotides) under Marmota monax (woodchuck). Lineage: Eukaryota; Metazoa; Chordata; Mammalia; Rodentia; Sciuridae. The record is from RNAcentral.